AGGCCCAGAGAGAGAAGCAGGGUCUGAUCUGCAGCCUUUGUGGCAGCUGCUGAUCAGCCCUUGCCUCUCUCUCCAGGCCUU
Molecule: non-coding RNA, 81 nt
Organism: Myotis brandtii (Brandt's bat)
Lineage: Eukaryota; Metazoa; Chordata; Mammalia; Chiroptera; Vespertilionidae
Source: Rfam